GUCAGCAGCCAUAUCACCCUGCAACUCACAACUUACAACCCACUUAAGCUAAGCAGGUGUGAGCCUGGUCAGUACCAGGAUGGGAGACUCCUGGGAAAGCUGAGGCUGCUAUUG
RNAcentral lists this ribosomal RNA (114 nucleotides) under Lepisosteus oculatus (spotted gar). The record is from RNAcentral. Lineage: Eukaryota; Metazoa; Chordata; Actinopteri; Semionotiformes; Lepisosteidae.